Molecule: non-coding RNA, 3929 nt
Organism: Benincasa hispida (wax gourd)
Lineage: Eukaryota; Viridiplantae; Streptophyta; Magnoliopsida; Cucurbitales; Cucurbitaceae
Source: RefSeq, a predicted model, not a curated record
AAUUAUAUUUUCACAUGCCUUAAUAUUUUAUAAGUGCAUGGAGGGAGGGCUUUUUUCUUAGGGAUUGAGUUCAUUUUGUUCUUUCUCAAUGCUAGUACAAGUAACAAGACUCCAAUAGGUAGUUGGAGUUGUGCAUCUUAUUCAUGUUUGUUUCUAUAAUUCUCUUAAAUAAUUUUUAAUAUUCACCCACCUCCAUGCAAGCAAUCUUACCCUACAAUUCAAUCAUGGCUAUGGACUCCAAUUUAUGUGAUACUAGGGGUAUAGGAAUCAGCAAACGCAUCCAGACAUCUCAACUAGAUUUACAUAUCUAUAGUGCUCUCAUCACGCUUCGACUCCAAAAGCAAUACAUCAGUGAUCAAUAUUUAUGAGUAAUCCACCUCCGUUUUAAUGUUUAAAAUAUUUAUUUAAUAUUAUAUUAUAUCAUCUUUCACUUUUUUUUUUUUUUUGUCUCAAGAGUCCCAUUUAAUUAAUUAACCGUUUUAAUUUGUAACAAACACAAUUAAUAAUUCUUACUUCUACCUUAGUACAAACAUUUUACUAUUUAUUUAAGUAGGAGGGAAUCAACUUUUGAUUUAUUACAUAGUUAUUUAAUUUCUUUUUCCAUGAUAUGAAGCCCUAUCCUAGUACUCUCCAUGAGGAAGGUUUUGUGCAUUUCAAGGCCAACUUCAAAAGACAUCAAAGGAAGCUUGCACCAAAGACGCCUUGUUCUUACCAACCUUAUUACUACGAUCUUAAUAAGGAUGUGCAUAAAAACCAAAAAAAAAAAAAAAUGGAAAAAUCAAACCGAACCAACUCUAAAAAAUUUUUGUUUCUACGGUUAAUUCAAUUUGAAAUAUUAAGAAAAUAAAAUAAAAUGUGAUUUGAUUUGAUUUGGAGCUCAAAAAUUAAAUCCCAAUCCCAAACCAUAGCACAUAAAUACCACAUAUGUAUGUGAGUGUAUAUGUAUGAUGUGUAUGUGUGGGAGUGUGGGAGUGCGUUUAAUUAAUUAAAUAAUAAUUUAAUAUCAAUUUAAUUCAAUUUGAGAAUUUAGAUUUUUGAAUUUAAUUAAUUUAGAAUUAAUUAAAUUAGAUUUUAGUUAAUUUUGGAAUUAAUUAAAAUUAGAAGUCGAAAAUAGAAUUUAAUUGAGUUUGUGAAAUUAUCCACAAUUUGGUGGAUUAAUUCUUAAUUCAACACCUGGUCACAACUUGCAAGUGAAAAUUGAAGUGGCAUUGACCAAUGCCUCAAUGCUUGCAUGAAGAUGAUACAUAAAACUCUAAAAAAUUGUUGAUGAAGAUGAGAAAGUUGCUGAAUAAUCAGUUUUCAGCAAAGAAAAUGUUCUUCACCUGAAACCCAUUCUAUUCCCUUCACAAAUUCACUUCAAUCUUGAGUUCCACCACUCAAAUUCAAGGCUGAGAAUAGUAUAGAAGAUCUCUUGGUGGUUCGCUGAAGAUUUGGAGUUGAGAAUUCGUGAGGAGCAGCUUGGAUCGGAGGGAAAUUCUUCAAAGGUAUGUGAUUCUUGAAACCAUCUAAUUACCCUAUGAACAUGCUAAUUCUGAUGUCAAAAUUAAGGAAUUAGAACACUUAAUGAUCAUGUUUUCUUCCGCUGCGUGUUUCUGUAUUCCAACAAUUGGUGUGUGCAUAUCCGUUGAAAUCAAAGAAUCUAAUUAUGAACAAAACUGAAAUAUAGUUCGGUUCAAUGUAAUUAUGAUUGAACAUAUGAAGUUCACUUUGGUUUAAUUUACAUUUUAAUUUUCAAUUUAGUUUUAGUUUGGCCCCAACCAAUUAUCAAAUCCAACUGUGAACAUUUCUAGCUAGUUCUUAAUGUAUACCUCUAAUCUUCCUUUUUCUCAUUUCUUUUCCAUCAAAAUAUGAGGAAAAAACUAAAUCCUUGUAGUUAGAUUUGUUGUAGAUGGGGCUUAAAAUCGAUUUACCAACUUUUCAUAUUGAGUACAAAAACCUUUUUUCAAUGAGAUUUUUAUCAUUGCAUAAAAGUGAUUGAUUUUCUUUUUCCUACAAUAAUAGUGAUAUUUAUGACCUUUCAAACUAAUUAACAUAUAUUUAAUUAAUUCUUUAAGGGUCAAAGUGAACAUAACUCAACUGAUAUAUAGAUGUGUUAUUUAGCGAUGGACUUGAAUCCUCCCAUCUUAUUGUAUAUAAAAAAAAAACUCAUUUAUUAGAAAGUCAUAUCCUCAUGUUAUGCCCAAUGUACAAUUAGCUAUGUAAAAAUAAGCAAGGUAAGCAAUAAAACAAAAAUUACAACAAAUUAAAUUACAUUACUAAAUAUUCAAAUAUUGAAUUAGAAGACAAUAUCUACAAGUCUUAAUUGCUUUCACCAUCGUUGGAUUGGUGUUUCUUAAAGUUAGCACAGAUUAAGAAUACAUCCCAUCAGCGUGCUAAUUAAACACCAACUUGUUUCUUAAUAAUCCUCCAUCUACAUCUAACUAUGUGGUUUGUUUGACUAAACACGCACGUACUUACCAAUUGUUCGUUAAACGUGUGUGAUCACGUUACAAUAAAACUGAGAUUUCAUGAUAUUUAAAAAUUGGUAGAUUUAAAAUUUGUGACAAUUAUUUUCAGUCAUUGUGUCAUCUAUAAAGAUAUGCAUAUCAACCAUAGUUUUUUUUAAAAUGUCAUAAUUGGUCUUCUCAUGACAAUAAAUAAGCGUCAACAAUGAAAAAAUAUUGACAAUUAUAAACUAUCAUUGUCAAAUAUAUUAUGACCGAUUAUUAUUGUCAUCAAUUGACUAAAAAUUGAGUAUUUUAUGUAGCGUUAUGGACAUUGACAAUAAUUAUAAAAUGUCAAAAAAUAAUAAUUAGUGACAUUUUUUUUUCUUGUCAAGAAUAUAUGAACCAUGACAUUUUAUUGUCAAGAAUAUAUGAACCAUGACACUUUAUUGUCAAGAAUAUUUUAAACAAUAACAAUUAUUUUAUGUCAACAAAUGUUCAAUGACGGCACAUUUUUAUUGUCACAUAAUUUCAUAUUUAUGACACUUCUAUAUUAUCAAUAAUAUACAGGUCUUCAUAGUUUAUUAUUUCUUUGAAUCUUGUCAUUGUACACAUGAUUCUAUAAUCAACUAAUCUUAUUUUAACACAAAAUCGAUACAAACAUAAAUAAGAACUUUCAUAUAUAAGAAUAAAGUUGACAACGGUUUUACAAAGAAACUAAAUACAACAAACCAUCGAAUGUCCCCAAAGGGACAAAUACAAACAAACUAAUAACCAAACUUGGUAAAUUUUUUAAAAAGAAACUAAAUACAAUGAGGUAUUACUAAGAUUGACUACCUUGUAGCAAGUUUUGUCACUAACCAAACGUCAAACACUUGCUUGGUAGCUUCACCACUUCACUAGGUUCGUGCAUGACCUAGUAAAAAACACAAUAUUAAACCUUAAUUCAACACUUUGAGUUAGUCCCAACCUACAACAAAGAAUUUCCAAGAGUUAUAAACUAGGUUCAACAUUUAAAAAGAGUUCGAAAUGAUCUAAGUGAAACUUGAGCACUAAAAACUUAUAAAACAAUCUUAAACCUUAAUUCAAACACUCUAUAUCAGUCCUGAAUUAUAAAGAGAGAGUAAGAGUUGAAUAACGUACCACAUUUACAUCGUGAAUAAAAUUUUCUCGACCACUCACCCUGAAAAAUCAUAUGAUACAGAACAUACUUUAAACCACAAUAGUCCAAGAAAAUGCAUAGGACAACAUACUUUUAAAUUUGGUAAGAAUAAGUUAACUAACAAUUAACAUUAACAUAAAAUCGUAGUAAGGUAUAUUCAUGGAACCACAAAAGGCACUACCACAUUUCAAAUAAAUAACUCAUAAUUUAUUUUCAGACUUAGAAUAUGUUGGGUCAUAUUCUCAACCACAUAAUAAUUUAUAUCAUAUUUGAGAUUUGCAACAUAUUCUGAAUUAAAAAAAAAAAAAAAAAAAAAAAAAAAAAAAAAAAAAAANAAAAAAAAA